UACGUAGGGGCGAGCGUUGUCCGGAAUGACUGGGCGUAAAGGGCGCGUAGACGGCUGAUUAAGUCUGGAGUGAAAGUCCUGCUUUCAAGGUGGGAAGCGCUUUGGAGACUGGUUGGCUUGAGUGCGGAAGAGGUAAGUGGAAUUCCCAGUGUAGCGGUGAAAUGCGUAGAGAUUGGGAGGAACACCAGUAGCGAAGGCGACUUACUGGGCCGUAACUGACGUUGAUGCGCGAAAGCGUGGGGAGCGAACAGGAUUAGAUACCCUGGUAGUCCCU
Molecule: ribosomal RNA, 274 nt
Filed under: uncultured prokaryote
Description: partial 16S ribosomal RNA
Rfam family: Bacterial small subunit ribosomal RNA
Source: RNAcentral